This is a non-coding RNA of Camelina sativa (false flax), 640 nucleotides long. NCBI's taxonomy places the organism in Eukaryota, Viridiplantae, Streptophyta, Magnoliopsida, Brassicales, Brassicaceae. The record is from RefSeq and is a predicted model, not a curated record.
AAUUUAAAUCGAAAUUAACCAAAUAUUGAAGAAACGUAUCUACAAAACGGACGUAUUUUCAUCGGUCCUUCUUAACACGUGGCGGCGUGUUAUCUGUUUCUGUCGUUUGGGUUGGGUGAGACCAAAAAAAUCGUGGUCUCGAGUUAUUUUCUUUUCUCUUUGUUUCUCUUUCUUUACUCUUUCUCUCUCUCGACGGCGAUUUGAUUCCGUCCGCCGAUCUGCUUGAAAAUUGGGUGAAUCAAAGGCAAAUCUGCCGUCAGUUUCCUCACGCAGGUUGCAAUAGAAAGGGGGUUUUUGAGAAGAAUGGUGUCAAAUUGGUUGUAGAUAACGUUUCAUACGACUUCGUGAAAGGUGCCACAGUUGAUUAUGUGGAGGAACUGAUCCGUGCUGCUUUUGUGGUAGCUGAAAACCCAGCCGCAGUAGGUGGAUGCAGUUGUAAAAGCUCAUUCAUGGUGAAACAGUGAAUCACUGAAUCUUUCUUCUUUACAUGGAGUAGAAACCACGUUUGAUCUUUUGUUUAUUACAUGUAUAAUGUCAUAACUAGGGAAAGAUACAAAACUCUGUAGGCUUCUAGCUCAACAAAUGAUUUGUUCAUCCUAUUUUUAAAGAAUAAUGGAAAAGAUUUAUACAAAGAGGAAUC